GAGGUUAGAGAGGGUGCCAUGGUCCUGGUCACACAUGAUCCAAGCCGGCAGAGUUGCCAAGGCUCCGACUCGGCGUCCCUCAUUGCAUCUGUCCG
This 95-nucleotide small RNA is filed under the name Sinorhizobium meliloti 2011. RNAcentral describes it as "putative ncRNA". Lineage: Bacteria; Pseudomonadati; Pseudomonadota; Alphaproteobacteria; Hyphomicrobiales; Rhizobiaceae. The record is from RNAcentral.